CGGAUGAACGCUAGCGACAGGCUUAACACAUGCAAGUCGAGGGGUAACAGGGUAGCAAUACCGCUGACGACCGGCGCACGGGUGAGUAACGCGUAUGCAACCUGCCUAUAACUGGGGAAUAGCUCCCUGAAAGGGGAAUUAACACCGCAUAACACUAUUGAUUCGCAUGGAUUGGUAGUUAAAUGUAGCGAUACAGGUUAUAGAUGGGCAUGCGUGACAUUAGCUAGUUGGUGAGGUAACGGCUCACCAAGGCUACGAUGUCUAGGGGUUCUGAGAGGAAGGUCCCCCACACUGGUACUGAGACACGGACCAGACUCCUACGGGAGGCAGCAGUGAGGAAUAUUGGUCAAUGGGCGGAAGCCUGAACCAGCCAUCCCGCGUGAAGGAAGACAGCCUUACGGGUUGUAAACUGCUUUUAGCCGGGAAUAAACACCCGUUUUAUAACGGGCCCGAAGGUACCGGCUGAAUAAGCAUCGGCUAACUCCGUG
RNAcentral lists this ribosomal RNA (488 nucleotides) under uncultured bacterium. Its description in RNAcentral is "bacterial SSU rRNA". It matches the Rfam family "Bacterial small subunit ribosomal RNA", at positions 27 to 507 of the family's 1533-position model. The record is from RNAcentral.